This 415-nucleotide ribosomal RNA is filed under the name Fusarium sp. RNAcentral describes it as "partial large subunit ribosomal RNA". It matches the Rfam family "Eukaryotic large subunit ribosomal RNA", at positions 163 to 586 of the family's 3401-position model. The record is from RNAcentral. Lineage: Eukaryota; Fungi; Ascomycota; Sordariomycetes; Hypocreales; Nectriaceae.
UUUUGGUGAGGUGCCUUCCGAGUUCCCUGGAACGGGACGCCAUAGAGGGUGAGAGCCCCGUCUGGUUGGACACCGAUCCUCUGUAAAGCUCCUUCGACGAGUCGAGUAGUUUGGGAAUGCUGCUCUAAAUGGGAGGUAUAUGUCUUCUAAAGCUAAAUACCGGCCAGAGACCGAUAGCGCACAAGUAGAGUGAUCGAAAGAUGAAAAGAACUUUGAAAAGAGAGUUAAACAGUACGUGAAAUUGUUGAAAGGGAAGCGCUUGUGACCAGACUUGGGCUUGGUUGAUCAUCCGGGGUUCUCCCCGGUGCACUCUUCCGGCUCAGGCCAGCAUCAGUUCGCCCUGGGGGAUAAAGGCUUCGGGAAUGUGGCUCUCUCCGGGGAGUGUUAUAGCCCGCUGCGUAAUACCCUGUGGCGG